CUUUGGAAAACAAAACUGUCUCUUUGCACACCGGGGGCUUUUGGAAAGGGGGUGGCAGGGGAAGCCCUGCAGUGAGGGAUGCUGGGGGAGGCUGGUAGCUCUGGUUAUAGGUGCAAAGCACUGUGUUAUCUUGGACUCUAGUCCUGACUGCAGCCAACCUGCUGAAUAACCAUACACAAGUCUCUUUGCUCCUCUGCAUGUCAUUCUUCCAUCAGUAAGUGUUGGCAUGCCUUUUGAGAUGCUGUCAGAACUGAUAAAUUGCACCAGCUGAAGUUAGAAUACUCUUGAUGGUGGUAUAAGCUGGAGCCCUUAGGAUUCUCCCAGAGCACUGUAGUCCCUGCUGGACUCGGUUACAAGCUGAAAAUUCAGAGCCUGGCAGAAUUCCCCUCAACUAAAUAUGUGCAGAAGUUCCUAGAAUCUCAGGUGCUGUAUCCCAUUUUAUGGCAUGGGUACAUCAUUGUUAUGCAUGGCUUCCUUUUGUCUGGUGGGGUGAGAGUGGGAAAAGCUUCCAUAAAGGGCUGGCUCCUUAGUGAUGUCAGGGUUUCUUGCAUGUCUGUGAAGCAGCAGCUGCUCACAGCCACUGGAGGAGACUGGCCAGCCGAGAGGAAAGGGGCAUAGUGAAAAAAGGAGCGUUUCAGGGCCGUGCUGAAAGAUGUUGCCAGGGAUCCAAUGUGAAAGGGAAGGAAUCUGGAAGCAAGUAGAACCAUGCUGGCUGUCCGUGUCCAUAGGUGGAGGGUGACAUCCUUAUUUUGGAGCCCAUGUGGAGUGGGAAUCGGCAUUGCUGCUGGAAACGUUUGCCAAUUUAUGGUGCCAGCUUCCUCUGGAGUGCUGUGAAAUUGGUCAGCUGGCAGCAAAACAAGAAAAUGCAGGAUGGUGGGAGUCUGUGCGUCUUCCUGAGCGUGGUGUUUUUUUCCCAGAGAUUGGAACACUUCCUUUUGCAACAAGAAGCACUUUUAGAUUGGUUUCAAACUGAGAAAGGAAAGAAGCUCACGUGUUUUUACAGAAUUUCAUGCAGAUUAUUUCAAAGAAGAUGUAGGAGGUGGGAAUCCCAAGUCCUUAUUGUGUCACCCCAGACAAACAUUAAACCUCAGUGAGCUACAGCUGAAUAGUUAUUCUAAUACUGACAGUCCCAGGGGGGAGAAGCUGUGAAGCCUGUUGAAAUUCAGCUUUGUAAAGAAUGAUGGGAAUGGAUGACUAUCCACUCUUUGAUAGGGGAAGCCCAAGGCUUUGUCAGUUCUGAACUGAGCGAUGCUGGUGCAGCAGAAGGGCCUGCAGGAGGCUGGUGUGGGAGCCUGGUGUUUCUGAGUAACAACUGAGAUGGGCAGGUGGUAAUUGCCGAGGUCGAUGUGGGGGUGAACUUUUGCAUGUGCUUCUGUCCCCCAACUCUGCCCCGAGCCCCUGGCACCACUGCCACCAGAGGGCACAUUGUCACCAUGUGCUCUUCUUACUGGCUUAUGUCAGAAAUCAAAAUAGCUACCAGUGAAUUCAUUUAGACUCUCACAGCACCCAGCAGUCAGGAUGUCACCAAAAUCUUCCCUGUCCCCACAUGUUUCUGAAAAGUGAAGCCCCCAAGUCCCUUGAAUGAUGCUGUGUGAGGGUUGUUGCGUAGUAUGAUAGUGACAAGCACUUGAUAUACAGGAGAAGGGCAAGGAGGGAAUAAGCUGUCCAUCUGAAAAUGUUUCUCCUAAGGAUAUUGUCCUAUGGCUUGCAUUCAGGUUCUGACCUGAAUGCAGAGAGGCUAUAGCUGCUUUGCUUACUACUGACAAAUACCCUCUACUCUCUAAAGCAACAGCAGUGUUAAUGUUGGCAAUAUACUUGUGUGAAGUAAUACCCUGUGGACUUGUUGCUUGCUGGUGGAGGAGGCUGAUAUCUUGACAGAAAGCACUGCCCUGCCUAGGCUUGUGGGAUGGGGAUCUGUACAGCUCUGCAGGGUCACUUCUGGAGUUCACAUACGUAUCUCAAAAUGAUGUUACAUGUGUAGAAGAUGGAGUUUCCAGAGUGCAGGAUUCAUCUCAGUGCAUGAGUUAGGUUUUCCAGCCUUGGAGUUCUGAGUAAAGCUUGAAGCCAUUUCAUCAAGCUUACAAAUAGCCACAGGAGGAGAGGGCAUUGGGUGGUGGAGGGCUCUUUGAUCAGCAAAGCACCACCCAGGUGCUGGAAGUGCAGGUCAGUGGAGUUAGAGCAGGAAAUGAGGUGUGCCUCUGUGCAGGUGAAUGCAAUUAGACUUCUCAGUGGUGCAGUGUGCUCCCAGACAUGUCAAGGCUCUGGCUUUGUCUGGAAGAUAAUGCUGUUGUUCAAAUGUCAGCUGCAGAGCUAGACAUAGAAAUGCGUGGGGUCUUUUUACAGGCAGUGAGUGAGGUGCUGUUACCCGUUCAAGAGCUGUGCUGUAUGGCAGUGUCAUUGCUGGAGCUGGGCCCCAAAGAGUCCCUGCCUUUUGCUGUCACACUCAGCUUCACCUUGCCCUUACCAUAGGGGCUGCACAGCUGAUGUGUCUGGGGCCUUUCUGGGGAUUGCACUCCAUAAAGAUGAAUCUUCCAUAUCAAGGAUCUCCCAGGAGCUUUCUUUUGACCUAAAUGGAAUGUCAGAGCAUCUUUACUGGUUAAGGUGGGCCUGAGGUGGUUGAUAUCCACUGGGCUUUUUAUUGUAAUGCUAUUUAGCUGAUGUAAAAACUGUUCUUUCCCAUCCCACCAGUUCAUAGCUGUGUUUGAGUCAGUGCUGUAUGUAAUCCAGCAAGCAUGUAAACCCACACUUCCAGGCUGUCCAGAGCCUCUGCUGCCAGGAACUAUUGCAGAUUCCAGGUCAGCUUUUCCUGCCUCAUCAGUGACUCAGUGGAUGUUCUCCAUUUUGUUCCUUCUGUUUUCUUCAAACUUUAGAGUCCAGAGGUGAUGAGGAGAUGGGCUGAGCUGGUUACUGAGGAUCAACAGAUGUAGAGUUUGCUGAAAGAACAGGCAGAGGAACAGUGUGAGAUGUGGUGAUGUUCUGCUCUCCAGAUCCUUACAGAUGAUACAGCUGGUCCUGUUCUGGAGAGCAUAAGAUCUCUGCCCAGUCCUGUCUACAAGCUGUGGUUCUGUGUCACCAUCCUUGCUCUGGCAAACUGUCUGCAGCCACCUUGGGCAUGCCAAAUGCUGGAUGCAGCAAGCACUGAUGCAGUCCCUUGCUAUGGAGUAUGCUGUAAAUUAGUAUUUCCACAGCAGUGGCAGAGAGAGCCAAGGGCAUGUGCAGCAGAAUGUGCAUCUCAGGCCUGGAGCCUGCUCCUCACCUCAGGCAUCUGUCUGACCUGUAGAUGUCUUCAUAUUGCUGGAGGAGGUGCUGCAACAACAAGGUAGGCUUGGUCACUGGUAAGGCAGAUGUAAGCAGUAAAGUUGGGCCAGGAUGAUGUCUCUUGCCUGCUUUAUGCGCACUUCCCUCUGUGGCUAGCAGCCUGCCAGUGGAAGCCAUGUCUGCUCUGAGCCUGAGCUACAUUGCCCAUGCCUUUGGUAUCUUGCAAAGAGCAAGGUGUUGCUGCUGGCCCCAGGGGUUAUAGCCUUACCUCAAAGCAUGAGCACUGGCAACCUGCACAGCUCAGCAGAGGCCACUUACCACAUUUGCGUUCCUUACUGCUGUCUUUGACAAAUAUCUGUUGUUUCAGGAAACCACACAUUGGGUGUUGCCCUUCCAGGGUAGGGGUGGGGGAGGAAUCCUGCUCCCCCAGGCACAGAUCCAGCAGGGUACUGGGAUCCUGCUGCUCUCUGGAUCAGGCUGGGGCUGUCUCCUCCAGCUGAGCAAGGUGCAUCCAUUUGUGUUAUCCCCAGGCAGGGAGCAUGUGGGGCCAGCAGAAGUAAUUCCUGCAGUCAGUCAUGAGCUGUGCUGUGGGUGGGUAGAAUGUACAUUUGGAAACUUCUGAGCUGCAGUUGUGCGAAUGUGCUUAUCCCAGCUGGGCUUGGGAUCCUUCUUUUGAACUCUUCUCAUUUCUGCAGGAAAGGGAAGCUGUUUAAGAGGGCUGUGAAGAGCCCCCAUUCCUCAAAUGGGGCUCAUGCAUGGUGAAACCAUCCUGGGUUGGGCUGAGAAGCUUUAUUAGCUUUUGGAGACGCUUGCCAUAGUAGUGGGGGAAUUAGUGCAGGCUCUUCUGUGUGCUGCUGGGCCACACUGACUAUAAUACUGGGUUUAGAAGUCUGGUUCUGGCUAGGCUGUUGGUCAUUGCAUAUAGCAAGGUACUUCCCUUUCUCUACUUCUUUGAAAUGGAAGAAGAUAGUUUAAGAACCAUCAGUGAUUUGACUGGAAGAGUUGUAACACUAAACAGUUGUCUAGCUUUGCAAGAAUGGGGUUGAAUGGGGUUACCAUAACCUUUAAAUCUGUUGUUUUAAGAAUGUUGGCAUUCCUUAGCAAAGCACUUCAAGGAAAUGCCCCUAUCUGUAAAUCGGAGCUUGGAGACUGAUGAAAGUUGCUUUUUUCCCCAGUGGGAUCCUGGAAAUAGAGAAGCAGUAGCAAUGGAAAUGUAGGACUAUUUCACACCAGCUGUUCUGUGAAAUGUUUUGGGUGCUGAAAAUCCUCACCUCCUCCCCCCUAUUCUUACCUCCUUGAGACAGAAAAAGUCUCCAUAUCUUGUCAUGGAAUAAGCCUAAGUUGGGAAAACUUCCUUUUUGUUUCUAACUGACCCUUUCUACAGGACUCUGAUCCAAAGGCUGUUGGUCUACAGAAGUCCUGAAUCAAUCAGACCCAAUGGGAACUCAGAACUGAAUCCCACCAGAGAUCCGUGGCACUCCAGAGUGGCGGUGUAGCAUCACUCCUCGGGCCUUGUUAGCCAGGCUUAGCAGUUUGCUUCUGGAGCCCCCAGAGAAGCAGCAGGGACAAGGGGUGAGGCAGAGAUAGAGGGUAGCAGCAGCUGUUCAGGAUGUGUUGCUGAUUCUGUGACAUCUCCCACCCUUUUUGGAAAUUGAGAGUUUGGAGCAAGACAGAAAGAAAGAAGAAACAGCUACUGAUAAAGCGUUGCAGAGAUGGCAGCCUCGUUCUCAACAGCCUGCAGCCCACAGCAUGUCUCUGAGGACCCGUGCCAGCUGGGAGGCAACGAUAGGCUUCAUUGCUUGCUCUGGCUGUUCGUCUCCCUGUGCUGGGCCAGGAAGCUGACUAUCUACGGGCAGCAGUGACCAAAAUUUGGCUUUCCUGGAAUUUUCUCUUUCUCCUCUGCACACCCACACAAUAGGCUUCUGGGGACGCCUUCAGCCUGUAAUUUGCCUUCCUAGCCUGAUAAUGUGGCUUGCAGAGGCAUUGGUUUUGCCAAGUCAUCAUCUGGAAGGAACACUUUCUUAUGCAACUGGCUUCAUUCUCCCCCCAUGCUCCAUGGGCCACAGUUGCCACCAAGCCCAGUUCCGGCCAGAAGGGCUGCCCUGCAGGCACUGGGGAAUAUGGGAGCAAGACCAUGAAGUCUGGGAAAGGGCCUGGAACUUUCAAUUUCAAAAGGCACAGACCAGAAACCAGAAGGACCAAGAACCCAGUGCUGUGGUUUCCCUUUGCCUGACUAAAGAAAAUAGCUGCUGUCUAUUUUUACUGAAAAUGUGGGAUGUGGGGCCCUUCUCUUCCCCUGCACAAAUGGGGGCUGCCACUCACAAUGAGAGAAUGGGGUAGUGGAGCAGUGGGUCAUCCCAGGUGAAAACCAGCAGACUGCUCCACACAAACCUCUCCCAUAGAUUCUUCAAAUAUUUCUUGCCCGCACCACGAGAAGAUUUAUUUGUAAGGUGAAAGAAAAUGAACUGGGGGAGGGAUUUGGGAAUCUCUUCUCACCUACAAAAGUCCCCCUUCUUCAUUUCAAGGAAGGAAUGGAAUUGAUCGGAUUCAUUCUGCCAUCACCCUUUCUUUUCUCCAUCUCUGCAUCACUAUGCUGUGUGGUAUUCAUCACAACAAAUCAAUACAAUGGCAUCAGUCAGCAAAUGAAAGCCAUCUGUGUGAGUGCAGAGAUGGGAUUCCCACGUGUGAGAUGUAUUGGGAAUGUCACGUACGUGAUGUUUGUG
This 5981-nucleotide long non-coding RNA is filed under the name Gallus gallus (chicken). Lineage: Eukaryota; Metazoa; Chordata; Aves; Galliformes; Phasianidae. The record is from RNAcentral.